Molecule: ribosomal RNA, 375 nt
Filed under: Pholcus phalangioides (longbodied cellar spider)
Lineage: Eukaryota; Metazoa; Arthropoda; Arachnida; Araneae; Pholcidae
Description: partial 16S ribosomal RNA
Rfam family: Bacterial large subunit ribosomal RNA
Source: RNAcentral
GCCGCAGUAUUACUGUGCUAAGGUAGCAUAAUAACUUGCUUCUUAAUUAGGAGAUCGCAUGAAGGGUUAUACAUUAGGAUCCUGUCUCUUUUAACCAAAUAAACUUAAGUAAAAAGUAAAAACUCUUUUAACCAAAGCGGGACGACAAGACCCUGACAAACUUAACAUUUAGUUGGGGAAACAAAAUAAUAAAUAUUUAUUCAUAACUUAAACAUAACUUUAAAAUAAAAACAAGACUAGUUACUGCAGGGAUAACAGCGUUAUUUCUUUUAAGAGCUCUGAUCUAAAAAGAAGAUUACGACCUCGAUGUUGAAUUAAUUCCGCUAUACGGGUGCAACAACCCUAUAAGGUAGUCUGUUCGACUAUUAAAAAAUU